RNAcentral lists this non-coding RNA (205 nucleotides) under human gut metagenome. The record is from RNAcentral.
AGGUUCUUUUAGGCAAUAACAUUGCCAAAAGAUUAAAAGGGAACCAGGUGAAAGUCCUGGACAGUGCUCGCUGCUGUAAUUCUCUACCACUGGGCCGUUCACACACAAGCCACUGGUUGCAACCAUCAAUUUCACAUUGACUGCAUCAUCACCGGGAAGGCGUGAACAGAGCCGGAGAAAAGUCAGAAGACCUACCUAAGAUUUA